GUCCAGCUUUGUUUAUCUUUCACAGUAUUUCAUACCUGCUCCUAAUGCAGAUAGUCAUUAUUCAUUUAACUAUCGCUCUCACCUACUAUGUGUGUUCUGCUUUGUACUCUGAGUGCUGAGGUCAGCCCCAGUAUGUGCCUCCCAUAUGAGAACUGGCAAACAUUCUCUUUACUCACAAGUUAAUAGAGUGAAAUAAUGAACAAUGUGUUUUGUCAGAUAGGUACCCAUCUACCACUGAGGUGGUAUUUUGUUAAGAGCAAUCUUUGUGCUUAAAUAACUCUUAAGAGCAAUCUUUAUGUUUAAAUAACUCAGGUUUAAAUGUGCUCAGAAAGAGGGAACUAAGUGACCUGACUGCUCUGAACAGGGUCAUAAGGAGAGAAUCUAACACAUUGCUUUAGUUUUGUUUCAACUUCCAUAUCACAAGAGGGAUGUUACACAUUGUAUUAAAUUCUAUACUUUAAAAAAAAAAAAAUCAGCUUAUUUUCCUUCUUUCUUAGUUUGUCUGUAUGAUUUUUAAUUUCAAUAUUUUCUUAAACCUCACACCUUCCUCUUUUGAAUUUCUACUUCCUUUUAAAGUGGCAAUUGCCAAUGUUUUUGUGUAUCUUUUGUCUUAUAUUAGUUAGCACAUUUCUCUAAUUAUAACCUGGGGAAUUUAUGUGCGGGUUACAGGGAAGACUAGAUUUUUACAUCAAAAUUAAUUCUGUUUUAUUUGCUUCUAAUUUAUAGGUGAAAAUGCUAUCUUACAUGGAAACCUAUUUUAUUCCAUAAAACUAAAUGAACCGUAACCCAGAAGUGCAGUGAGACUCACACAGCAUGACCACAUUAUUUCUGAAAGCUGAAGAGUUGCCAGUCUGCUGAUCUCAGACUUCAUGAGCCACACAGUUCAGUUCAAAUUGUUUCCCUGUAAUAGCUUUGAGCCUCUGCCAAACAGCCACCGCAGGACUCUAAAAAGUACAAGGAUGAAUUUGUACAAUCUUCUGGAAAAGCAAAGCUAUUUGGCAGUAAGUAUUAGAAGCCUUGAGAAUGUAUCUAACCUUUGACCCAGUAACUUUAUCUUACAAACUUCUCCUAAGAAUCCUAAAUAUUAAAAAAUUUGGAUAAAGAUGAAUGCACGUGUAUUUAUUAAUAAAAUGGCCAAAAACUAUAAACAGAACACACUCCAUCAGUGAUGUAUGCCAGGUGUUUUCUGAUUGCCCCACCUGCUUCUCUCUCAAAUUGCCCUCUGACAUGAGAGACUAGCCUUCCUAAGACUCUGAUUAUAGCUCCUGUACUUUCUAGCUUUGGGAUGAACUUUGCUAAUGGUAGUUUUGACAGAAAAUUGAAGAUGAGAAGAAUGAAGUAGAAGUAGUUAUUUUCCCUGUCCCCUUUCUGCAAUAGCCUCAGGCUGGCCAUGAUUCUUGAACAAAGGUAAAAGAGCCUUUCAGGUGGCCUUCUUACACAACUCAAUCUCCUUAAGGUUCAGUAAUAAAAGCUUCUCUUGUCCUUUGAAGCCUAAGGAUACUGAUGCAUUCUGUUCUGUGCCCCGCCCCCAUGCUCACUGUUUUUAACUCAGGGAUAUUGUGCUAUCACUAACACUCUAUCCCAUGUUUAUUAGCAAAUUCUCCUCGAAUUACCCAAUCUGAGUACAUCAAAUAUGUUUCACUGCCAAGAAUCUGGUGCAAUCACACAGCAUGUUUAAGUAUACUAAGCAACACAGUCACUAUGGAAUAAUAUGUAACAUAGAAAGAUAAUCACAAAAAGUGCAACAAAAAAGGUAAAUCUAGUAUGAACACAGGUACAUAAAAAUAAAGCAAAUAACAUUCAUCAUGAAAAUGUAAUAAGUUUUAAAACAUACUACUUUUUAAAUGAGAAAAUGAUUAGUGACUUAAAAGGAAAGACACUGUACAUCAUACCUAGAGGAAUUUACAAAUACCUUGCAGAAGUGGCAUUAGAAAUGAUUCUUCAUAAUUAAGUAGGACAAAUGAGGGAAAAAAAACUGGCAGGGAGGUGGCGAAACAUUUUUUGCUGAGAAUGAGGCCUGUGAAAAGGUAAGUGAAAGCGCUUGCAGAAAACCAGGAUUCUCUUCUGAAAAGCCUGGGGUAAACAGAGUUGGGAAGGAGCAGGGGAUUUCAUAGAAAAGGGUACUGGGAAUGUGAUUUGGGGCCAGAAUGUCCAAAGUUUCAUAGCUGAUGCUAAAGGUCUUUUCAUGGCCUGGGAGAAAGUUUGGGGAGUGGAAUUAAAUGAACCAUAGAAGGGUUUAAGGAAAGGAUAACAAGUUUAGAUUUCUCUCCAAAGAAAAACUCUCCUCCACUGUGGAGAAAGGAGGACUAAGAGUUCCUGGGGAAACAAAAAAAGACAAAGCCUGAACUAAGAAGUUUUACUAAGGAGUAAAAAGGAUAAAGAGACAAUGGAAAAGAUGUCAGAUGCUUCACUAAGUUGGGAUUAAUAUAAUUAGUAAACUAAUGAAAGACAGGGGUUGUCCAGCAUACAUCUGUAAAAGGGAACAAUGAUACCUAGGGUACGCUUAAAAUCUGGAUAAACUUCCCUGCCACUUUAGUUUGAAAAGGGUUCUAAUGGCCAAAAAUAUUGUUUUCAUUUUUUGUUACAGUUGUAUAUCAUGCUGAAACGCAGAUCUUUAUAAUUAAAUUUCUUAUAUUUCUGAACCUUUAGAGGACUAAAUUCCCAGAUAUGUAAUUAGUAUUUCAAAUAUUUUAAUGAUUUUAUUACACAGUUCCAACUGAUUGCAAAAAAAGUUAUAGCCAAUUUACAAUUCCACCAUGAGUUCUUAUUUUAACCUAGUUAGCAUUAAAUACCGUCAUUUUUAAAAGUCUUUGAGCAUUUGAUGGG
This 2826-nucleotide long non-coding RNA is filed under the name Callithrix jacchus (white-tufted-ear marmoset). RNAcentral describes it as "lncRNA (ENSCJAG00000079026.1)". Lineage: Eukaryota; Metazoa; Chordata; Mammalia; Primates; Cebidae. The record is from RNAcentral.